RNAcentral lists this ribosomal RNA (207 nucleotides) under uncultured bacterium. RNAcentral's name for it is "partial 16S ribosomal RNA". It matches the Rfam family "Bacterial small subunit ribosomal RNA", at positions 568 to 774 of the family's 1533-position model. The record is from RNAcentral.
CACGCAGGCGGUCUGUAAAGCGGUGGGUGCAAUCUCGAGGCUCAACCUCGAAACUGCUUGCCGAACUGGCAGACUAGAGCACGGGAGAGGACAGUGGAAUUCCCGGUGUAGCGGUGGAAUGCGUAAAUAUCGGGAGGAACACCAGUGGCGAAGGCUGCUGUCUGGAACGUUGCUGACGCUGAGGUGCGAAAGCUAGGGGAGCGAACG